This is a long non-coding RNA of Tympanuchus pallidicinctus (lesser prairie-chicken), 2667 nucleotides long. RefSeq lists it as uncharacterized. Lineage: Eukaryota; Metazoa; Chordata; Aves; Galliformes; Phasianidae. The transcript is spliced from 4 exons. The record is from RefSeq and is a predicted model, not a curated record.
CCGGGCUCCUCGCGGUGGCGCCGGGGGGAUGCCCUCCUCCCCGGGUUCCCCGCCGCUCGCGAUCGGGGGGGUCACGGCUCGGUGCGCGGCGCCCCGGCUGUGCGCUGCGGCAUCAGGGGCACCGGGGAAACGCCCGCGGAGCGGCGUCUGCUCUGCCCGUGUAAAUGAGUGCGAAAAGACGUGGAAGUGCUGGAGCCCGUCACAGAAGGGCGGCAAAACGGAAGGGUCUGGAGCACAAGUCUUAUGGCAGCGGCUGAGGGAGCUGUGAUCGUUCAGUGUGGAGAAGGGGAGGUUCAGGGCAGCCCUCGUUGCUCUCUGCAACUGCCCGAAGGCAGGUUGUGAUGGGCUGGGGACGGCCUCUUCUCCCAGGCGGAUCGUGCGUGGCUGGCAGCGCUGCAUUCCUGCCCGUCCUACACAACCCAUCAUCACAUGGAUGCAUUCAGCACAGAGUUGCUCAUGGCCCCAUCUUCUCUGCAGAGUGUUUUGUCUGCCCCCAUGCAGCCACCAUCCUGCCUCGCCUGCGGGUCACUGCGUGGAAAGCUCCAGAGAGUGUUGGCAAUGCUGUUGUUGACGUGGCUGCCAUGGGGGUGGGGAGACUCAGACACCCCUAAUAAAGCCUGAGGCAAGUGAGAGGCACUUCUUUUUGGCAAAUGAGCCGAUUUCAGUUUAAAAAUGCUUUUCUCUUGGCAGCCAGUGGAAGCAUCUGAGCUACGGCUGUCAGAUCAAAUGUGUGCUUUCCCUUUGACCUCCCAAGGAACAUAGGGAUGUGGUUUUAUGCCAUCUAGGAGCAAUCUGAUGUGUUUGCUUUUCAUUCUGAAGGUGUUUAGGAGUUUGACAUUUAGCCCUUGUGGGUUAUUUAUUUGUGCCUUUUACGCUGUAUCUUACGUUUCCUAGAAAACCACUUGCCCAGCCUGCAUGUCGUAUAUUUUUGAUGUGGAAAGAUGUGGGAUUGGGGUGAUAAAUGAGGAAAGAGAAUUGGCAACAAGACUGGAAAAUCACUGGCCAACUAGGAUAAAUUCCAGAGGCAAACAGAUGGUGGUGUGAACAGAGCAUUUUGUUUGACAUACUAAUGUGGUAUGAAUCUCAGCAGGGACUUUCCUCCUCCUCAGAAAGGUAACAGCAUUUCUGCACCUCAAAUAUUUUGAUAACAGUCAUAUGAAUGAAGUCAUAUGAACUUUUCUUUAAGCCUACCUGCAUUUUCUGAUUUUUGAACUGUUGAAUAGUUUCAGCCACACAAAACAAACAAAAUAGAGCAAAGCUAUCAGUAAAUGUAAUAUUGCAGGAACAAUUAACUGUGAUGCCAAUAUUUGAUCAACUCCCAGUGCCUGUGUUCAUAUUCAAGCAAGUGAAUAGUUUCUGAAUAGGGAAAUGCAGGUGGAGAGUGCAGGCAGUAUGUUCCUCAUACAGUACAGGCUGAACUGCAUCCAGUUUGACUCCCUGCACCCAGGACAACCCUCCAGUAUGUCUUGGAAAGCCUUGAGUUCUCACAUCCCACUGCCACCUCCUGUCAAAUGCCUCUCCUCACAUCAUAGUACAAAAUACACCACCGGUGUGCUGUUAAGCAAUCACCUCACUGUUAGUAAUUGAUUUUUUUUCCCUUGAGUCAUCACAGAACUAAGGGCGCACUUUAGGGACCUGUGGAGCUCAAGGCCUUGUGUCUCAUUUAAAGAGAUGUCAUAAGAGUCAUGGCUUUGCCACAUAGAUAGCUCUGAUAGUCUUUGGCAGGACAGCAAGAAUUGAGCAAUACUAUUUUUUUUUUAAUUAGAAAAAAAAAAAAAAAAAAAAGCCUCUGUGAAAGCCUGUUUUGGUGCUGCAGAAUGCAAGUAUCUCAGUUCUAUCAGAGUGAUGCAGGGCUGCAGGAUAGAUCCCUGUUUAAUGUCCAGACACACAGUGUGUAAGUAGUGAUGAUUUUGUCAGUGGCAGGGAACCCCAGCAGUGAGACUGCCCUCAUGUUGAGAAAAGCUUGCCUAAAGUGUUUGUUAGGUGUGGCAGCCCCUGGGCUUUGCCAAAGCUACUCAACUCUGGAGGCUUUCAUGCAGAUAACACAGGAGCAGGUCGGUGGGACUGGGAGGAGCAGUGAUUAUGUGGGGAUUGUACAGGGACCGGGAAAGGCGUUUGUCUUUGGUUCUCCGGUUGUUUCAGUGCCUCAGGCAGAGGCAGGAGAUGGCACAGAGCACACGGUGUGCAACUUGUCCUGACCGCCUGCAUGGCAGCAGGGUGUUGGCAUCUGGCUGCUCCCUGGACUCCUCCCUGCGGCUCGCUUUGGUCCUGCAACCCAGAUUGCAGAGCACACACCUCAUUCCUGAAGCUCAGCAUGGCGGUGUGUGCCUCAGCUCUGCGUCUCAUUGUUGGAGAUGUACACUUUGGUCUCAAGGCUCACUGCUGUCAAGAUUCAAGUUCCUCUGUCCCACAGCAUCCUUGGAGGCACGCUGCACCUCAGUCCCACCAAGACUUACUCUGCAGGAGCUGCAGCAGCAAGGAGGGGGCUGUGCGAGCCAUAGCAAAGUGCAGAGUGAUGCCCUGACACCAGGGAGGUUCUUUUGGAAGAAGAGAGCACUGGUUUGUCCCUAAUAGGUGAAACAUGCAUUACUGGUGGCAUCUUCUCUGCAGACUGAUCCUGAGUAGCCAGUUAUGGUAACCAAAAAAGGUUGUGAUUGCCAGCUUCCA